UGUUUUCUUUCUUUGUGUUGUCUUUGGCUUUGGUAUUAGAGCAAUUGCGAUAUUGUGAUUAAUAAGAAACAUAUAUAUUUGAUCUUUCCCUCCAUUUCUGGCACAGAGCUCCUAAAACCUUGGAAUUUCCUGAGUGAUAAGAGCAAUAAAGGUGUCUUGAUAUUCCCAACAAGCCCCUUUCCACUACACCUGAGUUUAUGCUAAUGAGGUGACUUUUUUAAAGCACAUAAGGAUAGGGGCUGGUUGCCAGGGGAACCAACCAUGUGAUUACAGGGUUGGAAUGUCAAUCCCACCCUGAAGCUCCAGGAAGAGGGGAGGGGCUGGAGGUUCAGUGUCUCAUGAUCUAAUCAAUCAUGCCAUUAUAGGAAGCCUCCAUAAAAACCCAAAAGGACAGCAUUCAGAAAGCUUCUGCGGUGGUGAACAUGUGGAGAUUCGGGGAGAACGGUGCAUGGAAGCUCCACGCCCUUUCUCCAUACCUUGCCCCAUGCAUCUAGUUCAUCUGACUGUUCCUGAGUUAUACCAUUUUACUAAGAAACCAGUGGUCCAAGCUGUCCUGCUGCUGCGCUCAGAGCACCAUACUUGGAAAACACAACUCUCAGAAUGUGGCACGCCAUGGCUCGUCUCCUGCCUAACUCCCACCAUCAUCAUCUUCUGCCUAGCUGUUUUCUGGAAGUUCUAACUCCAAGAGAUAAGAUCAGUUUUGUACUAGAAAUCCGGGAAGAAGGAAACAGCAGUAAGAGGGAGCCGAAGGGCAAAACCGAUGAAGACAUCUUCAGGUAUCACCUACCAACUCAGUUAGUUCAGCUCUCCUGUCUCAGAGGCACUGCAGCCCGGGGGCUGAGGGAAUUGCAGACGAAAUUGCUGAGCAGCUGCCAAUACCCACAAAGCCAGACCGAGUUAUCAAGUAAACAAACAAAAACCAGGUAAUUCUUGUUCCAGGUUUCAAAGAAGGAGAAAACAUGUAAGCUGGUGAGUCUGAGACCAACUCCAGG
RNAcentral lists this long non-coding RNA (992 nucleotides) under Equus caballus (horse). RNAcentral's name for it is "lncRNA (ENSECAG00000049277.1)". Lineage: Eukaryota; Metazoa; Chordata; Mammalia; Perissodactyla; Equidae. The record is from RNAcentral.